Molecule: ribosomal RNA, 253 nt
Filed under: uncultured bacterium
Lineage: Bacteria
Description: partial 16S ribosomal RNA
Rfam family: Bacterial small subunit ribosomal RNA
Source: RNAcentral
UACGUAGGCAGCGAGCGUUGUUCGGAAUUACUGGGCGUAAAGAGUGUGUAGGCGGUGCUCUAAGUUCGGUGUGAAAUCUCCUGGCUCAACUGGGAGGGUGCGCCGGAAACUGGAGUGCUUGAGCGUGGGAGAGGAAAGCGGAAUUCCUGGUGUAGCGGUGAAAUGCGUAGAUAUCAGGAGGAACACCCGUGGUGUAGACGGCUUUCUGGACCAUAGCUGACGCUGAGACACGAAAGCGUGGGUAGCAAACAGG